This is a long non-coding RNA of Calidris pugnax (ruff), 601 nucleotides long. RefSeq lists it as uncharacterized. The transcript is spliced from 3 exons. NCBI's taxonomy places the organism in Eukaryota, Metazoa, Chordata, Aves, Charadriiformes, Scolopacidae. The record is from RefSeq and is a predicted model, not a curated record.
UGCGGCCAUGUUCGAGCCCAACUCUCCCGUCUCGACGUGGCACCGGCUGUAGUGAGAGAGAGAGAGAGAAAAAAAAAAAGAAAAAAAGAAAAAAAAAAAAAAGGACCUUUUGGAACGAGACCAAAGUCAGAGGCAGAGAGUGGGUAGUUUUGGCGUAUGUUGAAGCCCUGAAAAUGCCUGGAAUUGCCAAACUGAGCUUUUGUAUUAGCAGCGUAAGGCUACUCGGUGCAUGCAGAGCCGCGGGGCUGCAGGGUAUAGCCGGACGGAAAGUGAUUCUGCAUUUCCUUCGGUAGCCUGGAUGUCUUGGAGUUAGUAGUCACGUCUCUUCGUUCACGGCCGAUGGGAGGAACAGAUCUUUGUCCAGUGGCACGAUGUGGGGGGUGAUCGGGCUCUGGUAAGGCAUCGGUGUUGGGGUGAUCAUCCCACCUUUCCUUGAGGGGCUGCCCGGACAUCUGGAAAGACGCAGAGACUUUCCGAGAGGAGUCGGGAAGGAGAGCAGAAAGAGGGGAAAUCGCUUUUCUUGCACAGAAAGGAGCCGCGGAGCAGCCGAUGCCGGGACGAUGAUCAUCUCAUUGCCGCAGACUGCCAUGGUCCCAAGCUG